AAUAUUUUAAACCACAUUUUUAUAAAAUGCUCCUCUGUAUUUUUGCCCAGGGAACCUGUGGAUGAAGUAAAUUGUUGUCAAGUGUACCAAAUUAAAGAUAAAUCUACAGUCAAUCAAUUGAAAAUGUUCGUGUGAAAACCCAACUAGCUACGUAGCUUGGAUGCAUUUGCGGAUUUUCGUACUCACGUGUAUUUGUGUGCUUCAGCUAGGAUAAUGGAAGAUAUAAAAAACAAACACUCUUUGUUGAAUAAUUUAUUUCGCGCAGAAAUCCAGGCGCUGACUUAUUUCUCAAUCGAAACUGCUGAUAUCUUAAUUAGAUUUAAGAUGACCAAUAGUUUAAAAACUUGGAAAAUUUUGAAGUUUGAUGGAUUGCUCAUGAACGCUCGUUGCAAAAAUAUAAGUAAUGCCAGCACAUACGAAUCCUUGAAACUUAUGGCGGAAAGUAAGGAGACGAACAACUGAAACAAGAAGUAUCGUGCCAACUGUAGAAAGAAACGUCGAACUGAAAGAAUGAGGAAAUGCUUCUGUUCUUGCCAUGGUGACGAACUAAGAAUUAGGAUUUGUUUUUGCCCAGGAAUGCUUUUUCGAACUGAAAAGAAAACUAGCUAUUUUCGAUAUUAAGCUACAAUUUUGGAUGUAUGGGAGACGACAAAUGUCGAAAAAGCUAAAAUAUCAUUCACUAAGAUCUCAUCGGACAUAAAGAUGAAAGCCAUUGUCGUUUACAAGAGAUAGUUUGUAAAAAGAGCACCCAUAUACAUCUGUAUAUACUUCAAACUUGGUUUUACAAUAAUGACUUUAGCUUUCAAAUGCAUAAGAGUGAUAAGACACAUAUAGAUACUGAACUCAAUGUACAAAUAAAUAGUUACGACACGCUCCGAUAUAAUGUUAUUAAGCUUGGGCAAAUAUCGACUUUCAGAUUAAUAAAAGCCUAGAUCUGUAAAUUAUCUCGACCGUUAUCUUAAAAAGUUCAUUUUCAAAAAGUUUUUGCGAACAACUAAUCAGCUUUUUCAAAUUUGGAACAGAAAUUGAAGCAUGUUAUAUCUGAAGUAGUGAUGGAGUAAAUUAAAUCUUCAUUUGUUCAUGUUCUAUGACCAUACUCAUGAUUGCUCGCGAGCCAUGAUUUUCCGGAGCAUGUGGUCGGUCUUGGCUUUUCCAGAAAAGAUUGGCAUAACAUAAACGUUGUAUAUUUUAUGAAGAUUUAUAAGACCAAACCUUGAUAUUAUUUCGGUACUUGAAUGCACACUAUGAAUACCGCAAUUGACAAUUAACCUUUAUCAUUGAAAACUGUGGCUAUAGAGUUAAGUACAAAAAGUUAAUUUACUAUUGUAAAAAUAGCAUGACAAUAUACGUGACUAUGAACGCUUACAAGUAUAUGAUUGUUCAAUUAGUCGUGGAGUCGGACUAUCUAAUUUGAGGCUCUCACGUAGCUACGAGCUGGGCUCAUUUCUUGCGUAAGGUGCAUGCCCUUAUUUUAUUUUCCACCUUCAACAAAUUACAAUGGUAUGUAUUAAAAAAAAAAGCGAAAUGUAGGAUUAAGUUAAUUUGCUUACGCGACUUGUCUAAAUACAUACAUAGGUUGAUUCUUAAAGCCUAGCCGCAGCAUUAAACCAUUUAAAUGUAGCAAUUAGCUAUAAGCUUAUAAAGGUUAAUGCCUUAUUAACUCAAUAGUUUUUAUCUAAGUGACUGAUAACCUUAAGUAAAUUGUUGCUAACAAUUUCUGGCAUUAUUUUAAUUUCAUUCCACAUUGUUAUGUUCAUUCCACAUGACAAAAGGUUUUAAAAGAACCCACGUCUUCUACAAUAACUGUUGAUAUCUUAAUUAUAAAAUUUUAAAUUUUGAAGUUGGAUGGAUUGCUUUAUGAACGCUCGUUGCAAAAAUAUAAGUAAUGCCAGCACGUACGAAUCCUUGAAACAUAUGACGGAAGGAGACGAACAACUGAAACAAGAAGUAUCGUGCCAACUGAUAAAAUAAACGUCGAACUGAAAGAAUGAGGAAAUGUUUCUGUUCUUGCCAUGGUGACGAACGAAGAAUUAGGAUUUGUUUUUGUUGUUAGACAAACAUGCAAGUCUGUUGCGCUGUUUUACUUUCUCUAUUCAAUACCUUUUUUAGAAUUUCGUACUUCCGUAGACAACGCACCUCUAUCAUUAAAAUUUACAUGUAUUCAAA
Molecule: long non-coding RNA, 2166 nt
Organism: Xenia sp. Carnegie-2017
Lineage: Eukaryota; Metazoa; Cnidaria; Anthozoa; Malacalcyonacea; Xeniidae
Exons: 4
Source: RefSeq, a predicted model, not a curated record